Molecule: long non-coding RNA, 1121 nt
Organism: Solenopsis invicta (red fire ant)
Lineage: Eukaryota; Metazoa; Arthropoda; Insecta; Hymenoptera; Formicidae
Exons: 2
Source: RefSeq, a predicted model, not a curated record
UGAAAAAAUUUAGUUUUUAAAGAUUUUUGACAAUUUUAGAUUUUUUACUUGAAAAGUCAGUAUUGGAAGUGUCUAAUCAAGAGUUUGUACUUGCGGCAUCAAAAAAUCGAGUAUAGGUUAGAUGAACAGAAAUGGAGGCUACUUUAUCAACGUGUGAAUCACGAAAGCGAAAAAGCAUUAACCUCGAAAAAAGCUUGUCCAAAUGAUAUCUUUUUCACGACAACUCUCGAUCGUAUACAGUCGCUGCAAUAUGCACUAUUAAUUACAUCGUUUAAUGUAAUAGAUUGAACAGAAAAUCGAACCAGAACCUACCUCUGAUCACGCUGCGAGAACACGGAAACGCACAGAAAGGAAGGGGUCCACAAGAAAAACAACCCGGGAGUAUACACACACGUUGACUGACAACGUAGGACAGCAAUGUGCCAUCGCUCUUUGUGAUGCCGGAAACGGUGAUCGCAACGUCAUCUAGCGAUUGUCAGUAAAAAUAAACAUUUUGGCGGGAUACGGGAAAAGUAAGAAAUUGAUUGGCCACUACGUGAAUCGUGCCAGAUUUUCUUGAUUCUUGUGAAAUGUCAAAAUUAAUUGAUCAAAAUUAAUGAUAGUCGGUCUCAUCAUCUCCGAUUAAUUUGAUCGGUUGAUUAAACAAUAGAGAAUUAUAAAAUUUCAAAUUGAUCAUGUUGUGUUUUUUUGUAUGUUUACUGCAAAUUAGAAGUUAUUUAUGUAAGAUACAUUUUAAUAAUUAAUUUUUAAUUAUAAUUUAAAAUCUAUUAAAAUUUUUUAAUUAAAACAAUAAAAAAAAUUAGGUGAAUAAUUAGUUUAAGGUUUACAGUUGGUGGGAAAUCCUCUAAUUAUAAAUAAUUUUUAUUAAUAUAUUUACUAAUAUAUAUUUAUAAAAUAUAUACAUAAUAUGUAUAUGAUAUCAUGUAUUUAAAAGAUAACUUAUCUUAAUUUUUUAAUACAAGCUAUUAUGUACGUUACUGUUUUAUAUACAAGACAAUUAUUUCCAAAAUUAUCAGAAUCAUAAUUAGGAUUUAUAGUCUAUACGAGCAAAACGGAAUUAAUACACCCAUCAUUUUCAGGAUUAUUUGUAACCUGAGCAUAUUUUCCCCAUACAACUUUAC